Pezoporus flaviventris is the source of this 2759-nucleotide long non-coding RNA. RefSeq lists it as uncharacterized. The record is from RefSeq and is a predicted model, not a curated record. NCBI's taxonomy places the organism in Eukaryota, Metazoa, Chordata, Aves, Psittaciformes, Psittacidae. The transcript is spliced from 2 exons.
CUGCAGUGCACUAUUGCAAUGCCAAAUAGACUGUUCUAAACCCUAUGCCAGUCUGUAGGGUCUAUACGGAAGGUGCUCUACUAACUGCAUUUUUUACUUGAGGUUCAGGUAGCAAAUAACUCCGUGGUGAGCUCUGUCAUCUAACCCUGCCUGGUUGCUUCCCCCAGUGAGUCCAGCAGAAGAAAAUGUAUGCUUCCAGCUCAGGUAUUUCAGUGCCAGUCCAGCACCUGAGCACAGUGCUCCCAGCCUCCUGCAGCUGAGGUGCUAUUUUGUAUGACACAUGAGUACACAUUUCCUGCUGCUGAGGGGGUAGUAGCUAAAAAGAGCCUGUAACUUUCUAACAUGGCUGAUACAAAACUCAUCCAGAACCGAUAUGCUGUGAGCUCAGUGCUUUGAGCUUCUUGUUUCCACUUAGUUGGACUCUUAUUUCAGGCCAUAAAGGAAUGUAUAACCUUUGGUCACCAGAUAUGGCUUUGUUGCCUGAGGAUCCUCCCAGCCAUGCAGGCCAGAACAUGCAAACAUCUUAACAUGAUUAGAGGGUUUUAGCCCAAAAGCCUCUAAUUUCAGGUGCUACUUUUUCGCACUGGCCACAGGCUGGGUGUUUGGAGCAGAGGUUGGUACUGCAGAAUGGAGCUGAGGUGGGGAGGGUUUGUGUGUCACCAGAUCAGAUGUGCUCCAGCCCAGAGUGGCUGUGGCUGAUCUGCCAACUCGGAAGCAUCUUGUACCCUGCCCAGCAGAGCUGGAUAUAUAAAAGGGCCGAUGGGAGUUCAUUAAGUGCCUUUCCCUGGACAUGGUCUUUGACAACACUGUGUGGCUCUGCUUCAGUGGGGCUGAUGGAGCUGCAGCUCGGGACAGCAGUGCCUGUAUGUCUGCCGGGCUGGUGCUUUUGUCCUUCAAGUGCCACCAGUGAGUGUGGCAGUGAACAGGACACUUGGGCUGCACUCUUCAGUUUCUGAGCAGCUCUGCAGACUACAGAGGGGUUGAGGGAGAACCCAGAGCAACCAAGCAAGCAUCUCUGCUGCUGCUGCUUCUGGUCUUCCUGAAGCCCUCACUGACAUCACUGCAUGCAAACUGACGCCUUUGUGGCCCUUUACAACUCUAAACUCUAAAUACUCGAUAUUUAUAUCCCAGUCUUUCCUUUGUAUUAACUCCUCCUUGCCUGCGUCUGUGCUUUGCAUGCCCUGGUGAGCUGAGCUUGGGUGUGUCAAAAGCUGAGGGCAAGAUGGGACUAUAAAACUGGUGUAGUGGUGUUUUAUUUUGCCUUUAUGACUUAUUUUUCCAGUACGCUGAGAUGAUGUGAAGCUAAUAAUCAUGCUUAGAUACUAUAGAAAGUAUGUAUUCAUGUAUUGUGGAUAAAUUAUUUAUACUCUUAUGAAAAUUAAUAUAAUUAAUAGCCAAAUGAUUGCUUGAGAUUGACUCCACUCCUGAAAGCAGGGAGCUGUGGUGUUUGGCUUUGCUUUGGUUUUUAAAGAGAUGCUUUUGAACUUGUGUGCUGUCACAUAUACUCUACUGGUUCAUUCCUGGUGUUUUGUCACCUGCGAGUACCUUGGGGCCUCCGAACCAUAGCAGAUGCUCUCAUAUGAAAGGGGCAGUACUCAGUCCUGAAGUCAUCCCCUGUAAAGCCUCAUUUGGGACCAAAGCUAUCCAGUGCCCAGGCAGGGAAGAGAUCUUCCGAACGCUUUUGUCAUGCCAGCAAGUCUGAAGCAUUGUAGACACGGGAUGUGCAUACACACAAACACCCCCCUCUAUCUGUGUGCCACCAGCUAGCAGCAAAGGCUGCUGAUGACAACCAUCUCUGUCUACUCUAGAAGGUAUUAGUGCAGGACCUGGCAUCUGGAGCAUUUUCAUCUUUAAUUCACCCCUCCUUUUGCAUCCAAAGCUGGACAGUGUGUAGGAGAAAAGAACUCUUAGUCUUGGCAGCUAAAGUUUAUAGCUAAGUCACUUUAAUGUGUCUGAGACCUGUGCCCCUUUUUUAGCAUGAUCCAUCCCUCUCCCUGUUUUUUAUUCACUAUAUUGCUCUUCACCCCUGAUUAUGUCGGCAUAUGGAGGCACAGCUUAUGGCCCUGGCAGAUGUGAUGCAGCACACCAGAGAAGUGACUGCAGGUCAGCUCACACAAAUGUGCUUAUCUCUGCCAGCCCUAAGUGAGCUGCUUCCGCAGGCAGGGCAGCAGCACCCGUGCUGCUUGGAGAAAGUGGUGCAGUCAUACAUGGGUUACUCAUAGCUAAAUUAGGAUGGGACCUUAAGUCCAGAGCAAAUAUUAUAACCCAUGACUGACCCAUAGCUCCCUAGCUGCCUCCAGGCAGAUGAACCUCAGCACAUACAGCAAGCUGCCUGGCUGUGACUGUCUUACCUUCUUACUUCAUGUGCUGAAUUAUCCCGUAGUGGGUCCAGCUACAGCCCUGUAGUCUGACCUGAACCGUGCUCUCCCAUAUCUGUAGCCCAGCGAUGAUGCAGCAUCUCUGGUUAAAAUGUGAAUUCAGAAGGCACACACGUGUGGUGGUGUCUGUGGAUAAGAGGGAGGUAUUGGGACAAGAGGAGGGGAGGCUCUGCUGGGAGGAGGCUUUUCUUCAGGACAGUGUACGGUCCCAUACCAUGUAAUACUCUUCUUUAACUUUAUUUUUGAAGUAUCUGUGUAGCAGAGUUGUGCCCAACUGUAGUAACGCUGUGACCAUUGUAACCACUGACUGAGAUACCCCAGUUUUGAUGUUCACAAUACCAAGUUCUGAAAUAAACGGCUUCCGGGCCCUAUUUCCACAAA